GAUAAACGCUGGCGGCGAGCCUAAUGCAUGCAAGUCGAACGGGAGCCACUUCGGUGGUCGACCGUGGCGGACGGGUGAGGAACACGUAGCUAACCUGCCCAGUUGUGGGGGAUAUGCACCGGAAACGGUGCGCAAUACCGCAUGAUGUCAAUCCUCGGGAGGGGAUUGAAGAAAGCCGAAAGGCGCAAUUGGAGGGGGCUGCGGCCGAUUAGCUAGCUGGUGGGGUAACGGCCUACCAGGGCGAUGAUCGGUAACUGGUCUGAGAGGACGGCCAGUCACACGGGGACUGAGACACGGCCCCGACUCCUACGGGAGGCAGCAGCAAGGAAUUUUCCACAAUGGACGAAAGUCUGAUGGAGCUACGCCGCGUGCGGGAUGACGCCUUUCGGGGUGUAAACCGCUUUUCAUGGGGACGAAUCAAAUGACGGUACCCAUGGAAUAAGGAUCGGCUAACUACGUG
RNAcentral lists this ribosomal RNA (460 nucleotides) under uncultured organism. RNAcentral describes it as "bacterial SSU rRNA". It matches the Rfam family "Bacterial small subunit ribosomal RNA", at positions 28 to 507 of the family's 1533-position model. The record is from RNAcentral.